Molecule: ribosomal RNA, 448 nt
Filed under: uncultured bacterium
Lineage: Bacteria
Description: bacterial SSU rRNA
Rfam family: Bacterial small subunit ribosomal RNA
Source: RNAcentral
CCAGACUCCUACGGGAGGCAGCAGUGGGGAAUAUUGGGCAAUGGGCGCAAGCCUGACCCAGCAAUGCCGCGUGAAGGAAGAAGGCCUUCGGGUUGUAAACUUCUUUUAUCAGGGACGAAGGAUGUGACGGUACCUGAUGAAUAAGCUCCGGCUAACUACGUGCCAGCAGCCGCGGUAAUACGUAGGGAGCAAGCGUUAUCCGGAUUUACUGGGUGUAAAGGGCGCGUAGGCGGGAUGGCAAGUCAGAUGUGAAAUCCAAGGGCUCAACCCUUGAACUGCAUUUGAAACUGUCGUUCUUGAGUACUGGAGAGGUUGACGGAAUUCCUAGUGUAGCGGUGAAAUGCGUAGAUAUUAGGAAGAACACCGGUGGCGAAGGCGACUUUCUGGACUGUAACUGACGUUGAGGCACGAAAGUGUGGGGAGCAAACAGGAUUAGAUACCCUCGUAG